Molecule: long non-coding RNA, 536 nt
Filed under: Bos indicus x Bos taurus (hybrid cattle)
Lineage: Eukaryota; Metazoa; Chordata; Mammalia; Artiodactyla; Bovidae
Description: lncRNA (ENSBIXG00005010082.1)
Source: RNAcentral
UGACUAUGGUAACUUGAGUAACAAUGAGAACCAUGUGCAUCCUCGCUGAACACUGUUCAUGGUCAGAAUCCAUGGCAAGUUUUGUUUGUAGCCUGCAAAGCACCAAGGCGUCUGAGAGGCAGAAAUAUCUAAAGGGAAACAGGAAGGAGGAGGAGGAGAUUUUCUACAAGAAGGGUGACUGCCCCUUUUCUCCAGGCCCUUUCUGUCUUCCUCUGGGGUCUGCUGCUUCUCUACACAACACUGGGACCCAGAGAAGAAUGGCUCCUCUGUUUGCCAGCCUGCCUGCAUAUUGCAUCCAUUGCUCCUGCCAGCCAGCCUUUCAGAAGUUGAUAGAGUCUCAAGAAAAGUUACCUGGUGAAGAAAUAAUCAAGAAGAUUCAUAAUGAGUCAUUCGUGCAACUCUGCACAAGAUUUUUUUUUUUUUUAAUCAUCGUGGAAAGUGUUGGAUGCAUCCUUCAUACAUUGUUUCUGGAUUUUUUGAAACAGAAUGUUCCGAAUGUGUCUGCCUUAAGGAGACUGAGGAUAUUAAUGCCUUAA